This is a long non-coding RNA of Patella vulgata (common limpet), 1235 nucleotides long. RefSeq lists it as uncharacterized. The transcript is spliced from 3 exons. Lineage: Eukaryota; Metazoa; Mollusca; Gastropoda; Patellidae. The record is from RefSeq and is a predicted model, not a curated record.
GGGAAAUCAUGGUGUGAAGAUACCCAGCGGCACCACUAUUGAAAUUAAGACUGUUGUCAAACUUGGUUUGAGGGACAAUAUUCAAGCAUUGUUUGAGCCAAAUAUUUCGCAGGAAAUACUGGAAGGUGUGUGUAUUGAAGGAAGUGUUGUUAAUCUCAAGAAAGGGCCAACAACAAAGGUUGCUGUUUAUGCCACAAAUGCUACGUCCAGGAGUAUAUCACUGAAGAACAAACUUCUUCUUGGAAGUCUUCAUUCAAUUGAUGAAUUGAUACCAGUAUUAGAAAAUACCGAGACCAGUAGGUUGGUACAUUCUUGUUCGGUUCAACAAUCAAAAGAACCCAACCCCCCACACCGAGAAGAUUUAUGGCACCCACCUGUUGAAAUUCAAAACAAUUUAACACCAGGACAACAGGAACAGCUUCGUAACCUUCUGCACGAGGAGUCGUCUGCAUUUGCAAGACAACAUGAAUUUGGUAAUGCUAAAGAUUUACAGUUAGAAAUUCGUCUCACGGAUGCAGAGCCUGUCCAGCAGAAUUACAUUUCUAUCCCGAAACCAAUGUAUGAAGAAGUGAAACAAUACCUUAAUGACCUUCUUCGACGUAAUUUCAUCAGAAAGAGCCAUUCUCCAUACCCUAGUGCAAUGGUGAUUGUCAGAAAAAAAGAUAAAACCCUUAGACUAUGCAUUGAUUAUCGCCGCAUCAACCAGAAAACAAUACCUGACCGUCAACCUAUCCCCAGAAUACAAGAUGCUCUGAACAACUUGAAGGAAAAGUCAACGUGACUAGAUUGAAGAAAAAACAUAUCUGAGUGAAUCGACAGAGGUUUGAUUGCCUGACAUUACGAAUUGUUGAAAAAAACGAGCCGAAGCGAGAGCAGGCCCACUAGACAAGAUCAAUGCCGUUAAGACUCGGGAACCUAGAGUUGUGAGAAACUAUAGAAGGGAAAUUAGGCAUCCAGUUGGGGAUCAACGUGUACCUAAUGGAGAAUCUGAAAAUGAAGGAUUAGCGAAGCUACGACGAGAAAAUAAAGAAUUAAAAGAACGGCAAUUGUGUAAAAUCUGUUUAGAUGCUGAUAAUAAUAUGGUACUCCUUCCAUGUAGCCAUACUGUUGCAUGUGAAUCAUGUUCUUCCGUUUUAUUCAAAUGUCCGCUAUGUCGUGAAGCUGUUCAUGGAAAGUUAAAAAUCAACAGAUAAACUUAUUUUGUUAGGUUUAAGAAAUACAUAACUUUAUAGUUA